GAGGGUAGAGCUCAGUGGUAGAGUGCAUGCCUGACAUGCACGAGGUCCUGGGUUCUAUCCCCAGUACCUUCA
This 72-nucleotide transfer RNA is filed under the name Camelus bactrianus (Bactrian camel). It matches the Rfam family "tRNA". Rfam says of the family: Transfer RNA (tRNA) molecules are approximately 80 nucleotides in length. Lineage: Eukaryota; Metazoa; Chordata; Mammalia; Artiodactyla; Camelidae. The record is from Rfam by way of RNAcentral. RNAcentral also lists the same sequence under 2 other names.